GGAAAAACCACGAAUCCUCAGCCUCCAGCAGGGAGAUUGUUCUCAAUAGGUACGUGUUCAUUAUUCUGACCAAGCCUGUUCCCACCACGCCGGUUUCCUCUGUAGAAUUCAGCAGCUGGAACAUUUGUGCAGUAAAAAGGAACUGAGAGUAUCAGUGUCUGGGCUCGUGUGACAGCGGGGCGGGGAUGGUAAGCAGCGCAGUGACCCGGCGCUGGAGACGCACUGUGCACAGCAGACAUCAUGGCUGGGAGGGGAGACGGCCGGGCUACGGAUACGCGUUUGCCGGAGCACUGGAGGGAUGUGCGAGAAUGGAGCGUGGAGAAGAGACAGAGCCACCAAAUGUGGGUUGCAGAUGUGGAAGCUGUCCUCAGGUCCAUGGAGAGACAGUUGAAUGCUUCACUGGAGAAAUAUCCUCGUACAAGCGCAGUCUGCCCAGAGCGUUGUCCUCCAUCUCCUUUGAACCGCGGCGGGUGUCUCUGCUGCCGACCAGCUGAUCCGGAGAGGCGCCUUAAGAUGGUCUGAAAUGAUUUGGAGGCAAGAGAAACGCUCAGCGAUCCCGUUUUCUUUGCAAACCUGAACCCUUCAAUCCCUCAUGCAAUGACCUGUCCUCAUAAGCCGUUUUUGCCAUUCAGCUGAGGAAAGUCAUUUCACACUUGAGUGUAUCUUUACUUAUCCGUCCCCUGAGCGCUGAAAAGUAGAUUUCAACUUGAGAUCUUCCCGCGAUGACUUCCAGCUUCAUGUUCUUAAUACUCUGCUAACGACUGACUAAUGAAUAAACAAGUCUCUCUGCGA
This is a non-coding RNA of Gasterosteus aculeatus aculeatus (three-spined stickleback), 792 nucleotides long. NCBI's taxonomy places the organism in Eukaryota, Metazoa, Chordata, Actinopteri, Perciformes, Gasterosteidae. The record is from RefSeq and is a predicted model, not a curated record.